This 653-nucleotide ribosomal RNA is filed under the name Pseudomonas aeruginosa. RNAcentral's name for it is "bacterial SSU rRNA". It matches the Rfam family "Bacterial small subunit ribosomal RNA", at positions 1 to 649 of the family's 1533-position model. The record is from RNAcentral. Lineage: Bacteria; Pseudomonadati; Pseudomonadota; Gammaproteobacteria; Pseudomonadales; Pseudomonadaceae.
GAACUGAAGAGUUUGAUCAUGGCUCAGAUUGAACGCUGGCGGCAGGCCUAACACAUGCAAGUCGAGCGGAUGAAGGGAGCUUGCUCCUGGAUUCAGCGGCGGACGGGUGAGUAAUGCCUAGGAAUCUGCCUGGUAGUGGGGGAUAACGUCCGGAAACGGGCGCUAAUACCGCAUACGUCCUGAGGGAGAAAGUGGGGGAUCUUCGGACCUCACGCUAUCAGAUGAGCCUAGGUCGGAUUAGCUAGUUGGUGGGGUAAAGGCCUACCAAGGCGACGAUCCGUAACUGGUCUGAGAGGAUGAUCAGUCACACUGGAACUGAGACACGGUCCAGACUCCUACGGGAGGCAGCAGUGGGGAAUAUUGGACAAUGGGCGAAAGCCUGAUCCAGCCAUGCCGCGUGUGUGAAGAAGGUCUUCGGAUUGUAAAGCACUUUAAGUUGGGAGGAAGGGCAGUAAGUUAAUACCUUGCUGUUUUGACGUUACCAACAGAAUAAGCACCGGCUAACUUCGUGCCAGCAGCCGCGGUAAUACGAAGGGUGCAAGCGUUAAUCGGAAUUACUGGGCGUAAAGCGCGCGUAGGUGGUUCAGCAAGUUGGAUGUGAAAUCCCCGUGCUCAACCUGGGAACUGCAUCCAAAACUACUGAGCUAGAGUAC